UACGUAGGGUGCGAGCGUUGUCCGGAAUUAUUGGGCGUAAAGAGCUUGUAGGCGGUUUGUCGCGUCUGCUGUGAAAAUCCGGGGCUCAACCCCGGACUUGCAGUGGGUACGGGCAGACUAGAGUGUGGUAGGGGAGACUGGAAUUCCUGGUGUAGCGGUGGAAUGCGCAGAUAUCAGGAGGAACACCGAUGGCGAAGGCAGGUCUCUGGGCCAUAACUGACGCUGAGAAGCGAAAGCAUGGGGAGCGAACAGG
Molecule: ribosomal RNA, 253 nt
Filed under: uncultured bacterium
Lineage: Bacteria
Description: partial 16S ribosomal RNA
Rfam family: Bacterial small subunit ribosomal RNA
Source: RNAcentral